Lutra lutra (Eurasian river otter) is the source of this 981-nucleotide long non-coding RNA. RefSeq lists it as uncharacterized. The transcript is spliced from 4 exons. NCBI's taxonomy places the organism in Eukaryota, Metazoa, Chordata, Mammalia, Carnivora, Mustelidae. The record is from RefSeq and is a predicted model, not a curated record.
UGGGAGAUUCAGUCCCAGGCGCCCCUCGGAGAGGAGUCGGAGCCUGCCCUGCUAAGCCCUGGAGGGAAGGUCGCUGCGAGAAGCUUUGUGUCCUGCAGGGGACCUCAUCUGGAAGGACACAGGAGCCUGGGGCGACUACACUGGGGACUGACUGCUCUUUACAUUUCCUGAGAACGGAACCAGAGGAAUAUGGUUAAGCAGCCAUCAGACCAGCUUACUCAUGAAGGAGUUCCCAUAACAUGCCACAGGGGAGGAAAAGACUCUGAAAAGGAAGACAUCUGACUCUCUUUGACACAAUCAAAUAAAAUGUGGCACUGCCUGGCAUACAUUUUUUUACCUAGCGGAUUGCCGUGAGGAUUCUAAAACAGAGACAGCAAACACAUUUCAUCUCAUCUGCCAGUUAUAACCCAUUACGUGGCUGCCUGGAUGGUAGCAUUGAGAAGGAUUAGUAAUGCCUGUCAAGGAUGUGGAACUGGGAAAUCGGGACAUACAUCCCAGUUGUUUGUCAAGUCUAUUCUUGAUCCGAGCUGGUGCAUAAAAUCCACAAAUCGUAUUUAGGAAAAUGAAAAGACUUACAUAAAUUUUAAGAAUAUGUGGGCCAUAAACAUGUAAUUAAGAACCUAACUGUCAUUCUGCACCUCCAAGCGUGAUGGCAAAAUGGCUCUGUGUCGUCUUUGACCGUCUAAUCAAAACAGAUGCUUGAUACAAGCACUAAGCGUGCACUUUUGAUUUUUUUUAAACUGUCACACUCCUGGACACCAGGACUGUGUUGAAUAGUUCAACGGAAAUGGACGGCUGGAAUGUUUCUUCACCUACGUUUCAGAAAGAGCCAACCACAACUUUGGAAUGAUUAAUGUCUAAGCAAUGAUGCUGGAUACGACCCAAUGAUGCAAAGAUAGAUUUUUCCAAAACAGCUUAGACACUGUGGUGAGUUGUUACAACACGGACGGUUCAGAAUCACAGUAUCAGCUCCUAAGAGAG